AGGAAUCAGAGGAGGUGAGCUGCUCUGAGAUCAGCUGUCACACAGUGUCCAGUCCACCAUCCUCCCUGUGUGUUCCUGUGGAUGUGACACAGCAUCAUCACUGGAUCUGCUGCUGCUCUGUCCUUUGACGCACAAAAGUCAAAGUCGUAAAUAUUUCCAAGUUAUGUGUAGAAAAAUAUGCAAAUUUUAUGCAAAUUUUACUUUCAAAUGUAAAAAGUGACAUUAUAUUUACUUUCGGGACAUGAAGCUGUGAGCAGUCGCUGUUAUAAAUAAAUAACUGCUGAGUUCAGACAAGCUUCUUAUGUUUUAAAACAGUUUCACCCCUGAUCCUGCUGACGGCAGCGUGUUAGCAUGUUGUGUUGAAAACUAAAGACAUCAGGUGAAAACCAUGAGCACUGCAGGGAAUCAGAAAGUGUAAAGUCGUGUUAUCUGAACACAGAUUGAUGAGACCAGGCUGUAAAUAAGAUGCUCAGUACAUUGAAGUAUAAAGUCAACAGUGAUUUCUAAGAGUCGAUGUAAAUAAAGAAGAAAAGAAAAUGACGAGGUGAAGAACUUUUUCAGAUUAAAUAAGAAACAGAAAUAUUUUCACCCAAUGAGAAGCUGAGGUUGUUUUUCUGUUCAAAGUGAAUUUAAUCAUGUUAUUUGUCAAAUAGUGAAGUUUUCAUGUACAUAGUUUAAUAACCUGCUUCACCUAAUGACUCCGAUGUAAAGUGGUGUGAGUCUGUGGGUGAAAGACGUUUAGAAACACAGAGAUAAUUCGUUUGGAGCCGGGAGCCUGCGGCUCUGCUUCACUGAGAAGAUGAAAACGUCUGGACUCAUCAGAUCGAAUCAGUUCAAUGACUUCAUGAAAAACAUGUGAACUCACAUUUUGAUGAUUUUCAUUCUCUCUGGAUUCUUCACACGUGUUCAUAACUGAUCUGCAUGUUCCUGCUCAUGUACAAAGAGAUAGAAGGUUUUAUACAAGUGGACUUUCUUUCAUGUACAACGUUUAUACAACAUCGGACAAUAAGAUCACACUCAUCGACAUUUAUUCACAAAUGUACAUGAAAUAAAAGGAAACGAGGGAAUAUCCCUUAAAGUGACAUUUUUCAAUCCACAACGUGAUGAACUGCAGAAGAAUCAUUUAUAUACAGUCUGUGAUCGUACUUCACGCACAGACCUCACUACGUCCAGGACAUGAUGUCAUCACUUGUAACUGUCGGAUGUCCAGAUGUUGUGUAAACUCCGACAGGACGUUGUAAUGUUUUAUCAAUGAUUGUUGAUUAUUCUGAGUAUGAUCUUAUUCAGGUUAAGUUUAUCAGAACAUACUGUUUAUACGUCAGUGUCUUAUUCAGAUUAUUGUCUUAAUCUGGUUGAUACCAGAAUAUUGUAUCCAUGGAAACGUCAAGCGGUGAUUGGUUGGUGAGUGACAUGUCGUCCGUCACGUCUCACAGCGACAACACAGCGAGAAUUUGUGAUUCAAUAAUCAGCUGAUCAGACACAUGGAGGAGGCGGGGUUUAUGACCUAUACUGCAGUCGGCCACCAGGGGGCGAUGCAGAUCAUUUGGCUUCAUCUUUAUUUACAGUCUAAAUUUUAAUGAUUUUAUUUCACGGUGUUUUAUUGAAUGACGUCAGAUAAGAUCUUCUCUGUAAAGUCGCAGGUGAUGGAUCUGACCUGAGUUUGAGUUUCUCACUUUCCAUGUUUCACUGUUUAACGGUAGAAGGUCGAAAAUCUCAGCUUCAAAUGAUUUAAUUCAACUGCUGCAGGAAAACCACGAAAUCCAGUUUGAUCAUCACAGAAACGUCUCUUUCAAACCUCAGGUUGUUUUAUUCACUUGUAAAAUCUUGUGGCUGCUUUGUUUACAUGAAUCAUUUCUUUAUUUUUACAUGAAAAUAAACAUUUUCCACUUCAUUAAAGAUUAAAAA
Hippoglossus stenolepis (Pacific halibut) is the source of this 1905-nucleotide long non-coding RNA. RefSeq lists it as uncharacterized. Lineage: Eukaryota; Metazoa; Chordata; Actinopteri; Pleuronectiformes; Pleuronectidae. The transcript is spliced from 2 exons. The record is from RefSeq and is a predicted model, not a curated record.